This 693-nucleotide ribosomal RNA is filed under the name Stenotrophomonas sp. Its description in RNAcentral is "bacterial SSU rRNA". It matches the Rfam family "Bacterial small subunit ribosomal RNA", at positions 800 to 1487 of the family's 1533-position model. The record is from RNAcentral. Lineage: Bacteria; Pseudomonadati; Pseudomonadota; Gammaproteobacteria; Lysobacterales; Lysobacteraceae.
CCCUAAACGAUGCGAACUGGAUGUUGGGUGCAAUUUGGCACGCAGUAUCGAAGCUAACGCGUUAAGUUCGCCGCCUGGGGAGUACGGUCGCAAGACUGAAACUCAAAGGAAUUGACGGGGGCCCGCACAAGCGGUGGAGUAUGUGGUUUAAUUUGAUGCAACGCGAAGAACCUUACCUGGCCUUGACAUGUCGAGAACUUUCCAGAGAUGGAUCGGUGCCUUCGGGAACUCGAACACAGGUGCUGCAUGGCUGUCGUCAGCUCGUGUCGUGAGAUGUUGGGUUAAGUCCCGCAACGAGCGCAACCCUUGUCCUUAUUUGCCAGCACGUAAUGGUGGGAACUCUAAGGAGACCGCCGGUGACAAACCGGAGGAAGGUGGGGAUGAAGUCAAGUUAUCAUGGCCCUUACGGCCAGGGGCUACACACGUAGUACAAUGGUAGGGACAGAGGGGUGCAAGCCGGGGACGGUAAGCCAAUCCCAGAAACCCUAUUUCAGUCCGGAUUGGAGUUUGCAACUUGACUCCAUGAAGUUGGAAUCGCUAGUAAUCGCAGAUCAGCAUUGCUGCGGUGAAUACGUUCCCGGGCCUUGUACACACCGCCCGUCACACCAUGGGAGUUUGUUGCACNCAGAAGCAGGUAGCUUAACCUUCAGGAGGGCGCUUGCCACGGUGUGNCNNAAGACNGGGGGUGAAAUC